GACAGGGAACAACGUGACCAUCCCCCUCUCAUUGUGUGUGUAAAUGUGUGUGUAUCAAAGAGGUGCAAUUAAAAUUGGUGGACCGGGCGAUACAAACUCCUCCAUUCUUCAACAAGGGAAUCGUCCAGACGUGUCCACCACAGGGCCCUACGCUAUUAAUGGCGAAUAAGAAACCUGAGGCGUUCUGCUGAAUCCUCCAGACAGCUGAAUGUGCUUAAAGGGCAAGGCAGCUACGAGCACCCAAAUAUCAACCGACCCAAAAAUGGGUUUCGACUUUGCACCGCCCCAACAUUCUAUUGGUUCUUUACUCAUCUUUUUGUGCCCACGCUGAAAUCUCUAUGCUUCCGGCGGAACAGUUGACAGCAAAGGGACUUCAAGCUGUUGUGAUUUUGGCAUCCAGACCUCUCAUCUGCAUCACAAACCAAAAGCCCUCCAGCUGACAACUCAGUAAGACAGUCUAUUACAGAGACUGAGGAAGGCCCUGGGGUACACAUAUGGGAAGGAGAUAACACGUGGGGGUAGCAGCGGAGGGCUGAACAGGCUGCAGGCAAGUGCAAUGAUGGGUGUUGAUUUUCUGAGCAUGUGAGAGCGCACCACGUUAAUCAAUGACUGUGUGUUUCUGUGUUGUGUAGAUUAAGGCGUAUUUCUGUGUGUGUCUAAGCCUCUCUCUCUUCUUCUAUAUCUUUAUCUUGCUCUCCCACAGCCCACCCAGUAAAGGUAGAGAGAGAAACAAUAAGAUGUGUGUGGGAGUGAGCAGGGUGAGACUCAGAUAUAGAAUUAAGUGUGUUAUUACUACUGGGACAGGAUUUGCAGGCAGCAGCCUGCCAGAAGCCUCGCUCCCUGUCUUGGCUUGAGAUAAACAUUAUAUAUGUACACAGAUGUAAUUCAAAAUAUUACUAAACAUAAAUCCUUAGAAAGGUAAAGAAGCAUUGCUGUUUUCAACAUUGCCUCUGUUUCAAAAAUGUACUUUUUUUAAUGUAAAAAUGUUCUCUUUUAUGAUGACAGGGGAAAUGCACACCACAGUGAAAGCUUGCAGAACCUCUUAGUUCCAUUGUGGGAACCAGAAGGGAACUUUGUAGGAGUUCACCUGUUCCUUCUGUUUAUGGCACAACUAGAACUCUUUUUAGAAUUUACCUUUCUAGGUAAAUUGAGAGUCAUUUGAGACUAAUUUAUUUGAUCAAGCUUUAGAUUAUGGGCAAAUUGACUCACAGUUAAAUCUUACCUUAUGCUACACAAAAUUCAUGAUAAAAUAAGCAAGUGAUUGCAGAUCGCUCAGGUCUUCAUAAAAGUAGCUUUUAAUAUUUUUUUGUGCCAAAAUCUGUCUACAGUUUGGUGGUAAAAUCCCACAAAUUUUAGGUUUUGGACUUCUCAUUACCAAAGAACUGCAGAUGUUCAAAAUAAUUUUGUGUUCCUUUGAACUAUCUUUGAAGUGCCAAUCCAUUCCUGUUAAAUCUUUUGAUUUGGAAAAAUAAUCCAAUGGCCAGCACAGUACCUAGAACAGCAGUUCAGGAAGCAUUUAAGGUUUACUUCACCAUCAAGGGUGUCAACCCUGUUUCCUAAAAUUGUAGCUUCUCUGACUUAUCCUGAGCUGUGCUGCCAGAAUGGGCAUUUUUUAUUUGACAAAACUUGCUUAGGGCAGAUGGACAUAAUAUGCGCAAGUUUGGCAUCAGUUCAGAAGUUAUUCAGACACAUUUAAACCAGACUCAAUGCCACACACAUGGAUUAUUGAAUUCUUGGACCUGUACAACAUCAACAGGACUCUAAGAGCCUUCAUAGGAAACUCAAUGAAGCUGUGGA
This is a long non-coding RNA of Oryzias latipes (Japanese medaka), 1797 nucleotides long. RefSeq lists it as uncharacterized. NCBI's taxonomy places the organism in Eukaryota, Metazoa, Chordata, Actinopteri, Beloniformes, Adrianichthyidae. The record is from RefSeq and is a predicted model, not a curated record.